GGGAUAACACCUGGAAACAGAUGCUAAUACCGGAUAACAACACUAGACGCAUGUCUAGAGUUUGAAAGAUGGUUCUGCUAUCACUCUUGGAUGGACCUGCGGUGCAUUAGCUAGUUGGUAAGGUAACGGCUUACCAAGGCAAUGAUGCAUAGCCGAGUUGAGAGACUGAUCGGCCACAUUGGGACUGAGACACGGCCCAAACUCCUACGGGAGGCAGCAGUAGGGAAUCUUCCACAAUGGACGAAAGUCUGAUGGAGCAACGCCGCGUGAGUGAAGAAGGGUUUCGGCUCGUAAAGCUCUGUUGGUAGUGAAGAAAGAUAGAGGUAGUAACUGGCCUUUAUUUGACGGUAAUUACUUAGAAAGUCACGGCUAACUACGUGCCAGCAGCCGCGGUAAUACGUAGGUGGCAAGCGUUGUCCGGAUUUAUUGGGCGUAAAGCGAGUGCAGGCGGUUCAAUAAGUCUGAUGUGAAAGCCUCCGACUCAACCGGAGAAUUGCAUCAGAAACUGUUGAACUUGAGUGCAGAAGAGGAGAGUGGAACUCCAUGUGUAGCGGUGGAAUGCGUAGAUGUAUGGAAGAACACCAGUGGCGAAGGCGGCUCUCUGGUCUGCAACUGACGCUGAGGCUCGAAAGCAUGGGUAGCGAACAGGAUUAGAUACCCUGGUAGUCCAUGCCGUAAACGAUGAGU
RNAcentral lists this ribosomal RNA (687 nucleotides) under uncultured bacterium. Its description in RNAcentral is "bacterial SSU rRNA". It matches the Rfam family "Bacterial small subunit ribosomal RNA", at positions 140 to 814 of the family's 1533-position model. The record is from RNAcentral.